RNAcentral lists this ribosomal RNA (503 nucleotides) under uncultured bacterium. RNAcentral describes it as "bacterial SSU rRNA". It matches the Rfam family "Bacterial small subunit ribosomal RNA", at positions 28 to 524 of the family's 1533-position model. The record is from RNAcentral.
GAUGAACGUUAGCGGGAGGCUUAAUACAUGCAAGUCGAGCGGUAAGUUUUUAUAGCAAUAUGAAGACCUAGAGCGGCGCACGGGUGAGUAACGCGUACACGACCUGGCCUAAACUGGGGGAUAGCCUUGGGAAACUGAGAGUAAUCCCGCAUGUGAUUAUGUUACUGAUGGUGAUAUAAUUAAAGCUUCGGCGGUUUAGGAUGGGUGUGCGUCUGAUUAGCUAGUUGGUAGUGUAACGGACUACCAAGGCGAUGAUCAGUAGGGGGCGUGAGAGCGUGACCCCCCCACACGGGUACUGAGACACGGACCCGACUCCUACGGGAGGCAGCAGUAAGGAAUAUUGGUCAAUGCCCGGAAGGGUGAACCAGCCAUCCCGCGUGAAGGAUGAAGGGGCUCUGCCUUGUAAACUUCUUUUGUAUGAGGCGAAAAAAGGGGAUUUAUCCUCGACUGACGGUACCAUAAGAAUAAGCACCGGCUAACUCCGUGCCAGCAGCCGCGGUAAU